AAAUUGAAGAGUUUGAUCAUGGCUCAGAUUGAACGCUGGCGGCAGGCCUAACACAUGCAAGUCGAACGGUAACAGGAAGAAGCUUGCUUCUUUGCUGA
RNAcentral lists this ribosomal RNA (98 nucleotides) under Escherichia coli. RNAcentral's name for it is "partial 16S ribosomal RNA". It matches the Rfam family "Bacterial small subunit ribosomal RNA", at positions 1 to 94 of the family's 1533-position model. Lineage: Bacteria; Pseudomonadati; Pseudomonadota; Gammaproteobacteria; Enterobacterales; Enterobacteriaceae. RNAcentral also lists the same sequence under 1 other name. The record is from RNAcentral.